Molecule: ribosomal RNA, 1489 nt
Filed under: Flavobacterium sp. 3037
Lineage: Bacteria; Pseudomonadati; Bacteroidota; Flavobacteriia; Flavobacteriales; Flavobacteriaceae
Description: bacterial SSU rRNA
Rfam family: Bacterial small subunit ribosomal RNA
Source: RNAcentral
AGAGUUUGAUCCUGGCUCAGAUUGAACGCUGGCGGCAGGCUUAACACAUGCAAGUCGAGGGGUAUAGUUCUUCGGAAUUAGAGACCGGCGCACGGGUGCGUAACGCGUAUGCAAUCUACCUUUUACAGCGGGAUAGCCCAGAGAAAUUUGGAUUAAUACCGCAUGGUAUUAUAGAAUGGCAUCAUUUUAUAAUUAAAGUCACAACGGUAAAAGAUGAGCAUGCGUCCCAUUAGUUAGUUGGUAAGGUAACGGCUUACCAAGACUACGAUGGGUAGGGGUCCUGAGAGGGAGAUCCCCCACACUGGUACUGAGACACGGACCAGACUCCUACGGGAGGCAGCAGUGAGGAAUAUUGGACAAUGGAGGCAACUCUGAUCCAGCCAUGCCGCGUGCAGGAUGACGGUCCUAUGGAUUGUAAACUGCUUUUAUACGAGAAGAAACCACUCUAGCCACGUGUAGAGUCUUGACGGUAUCGUAAGAAUAAGGAUCGGCUAACUCCGUGCCAGCAGCCGCGGUAAUACGGAGGAUCCAAGCGUUAUCCGGAAUCAUUGGGUUUAAAGGGUCCGUAGGCGGCUUUAUAAGUCAGUGGUGAAAUCUCCCCGCUCAACGGGGAAACGGCCAUUGAUACUGUAAGGCUUGAAUUAUUAGGAAGUAACUAGAAUAUGUAGUGUAGCGGUGAAAUGCUUAGAGAUUACAUGGAAUACCAAUUGCGAAGGCAGGUUACUACUAAUUGAUUGACGCUGAUGGACGAAAGCGUGGGUAGCGAACAGGAUUAGAUACCCUGGUAGUCCACGCCGUAAACGAUGGAUACUAGCUGUUGGGAGCAAUCUCAGUGGCUAAGCGAAAGUGAUAAGUAUCCCACCUGGGGAGUACGUUCGCAAGAAUGAAACUCAAAGGAAUUGACGGGGGCCCGCACAAGCGGUGGAGCAUGUGGUUUAAUUCGAUGAUACGCGAGGAACCUUACCAAGGCUUAAAUGUAGAUUGACCGNUUUGGAAACAGANCUUUCGCAAGACAAUUUACAAGGUGCUGCAUGGUUGUCGUCAGCUCGUGCCGUGAGGUGUCAGGUUAAGUCCUAUAACGAGCGCAACCCCUGUUGUUAGUUGCCAGCGAGUCAAGUCGGGAACUCUAACAAGACUGCCAGUGCAAACUGUGAGGAAGGUGGGGAUGACGUCAAAUCAUCACGGCCCUUACGCCUUGGGCUACACACGUGCUACAAUGGCCGGUACAGAGAGCAGCCACUGGGUGACCAGGAGCGAAUCUACAAAACCGGUCACAGUUCGGAUCGGAGUCUGCAACUCGACUCCGUGAAGCUGGAAUCGCUAGUAAUCGGAUAUCAGCCAUGAUCCGGUGAAUACGUUCCCGGGCCUUGUACACACCGCCCGUCAAGCCAUGGAAGCUGGGGGUGCCUGAAGUCGGUGACCGCAAGGAGCUGCCUAGGGUAAAACACGGUGUGGUUGAUGACUGGGGUGAAGUCGUAACAAGGUAACC